CAGUCGCCGCGGUAAUACGAAGGGUGCAAGCGUUAAUCGGAAUUACUGGGCGUAAAGCGUGCGUAGGCGGCUUGGUAAGUUAGAGGUGAAAGCCUGGAGCUCAACUCCAGAAUUGCCUUUAAGACUGCCGAGCUAGCAGGUGAGAGAGGUAAGUGGAAUUCCGAGUGUAGAGGUGAAAUUCGUAGAUAUUCGGAAGAACACCAGUGGCGAAGGCGGCUUACUGGCUCAUACUGGACGCUGAGGUGCGAAAGCGUGGGGAGCAAACAGGAUUAGAUACCCCCGUAGUCCCUGUCUCUUAUAC
This 301-nucleotide ribosomal RNA is filed under the name uncultured bacterium. RNAcentral's name for it is "partial 16S ribosomal RNA". It matches the Rfam family "Bacterial small subunit ribosomal RNA", at positions 509 to 807 of the family's 1533-position model. The record is from RNAcentral.